RNAcentral lists this ribosomal RNA (433 nucleotides) under uncultured bacterium. RNAcentral's name for it is "partial 16S ribosomal RNA". It matches the Rfam family "Bacterial small subunit ribosomal RNA", at positions 29 to 507 of the family's 1533-position model. The record is from RNAcentral.
AACGAACGCUGGCGGCAUGCCUAACACAUGCAAGUCGAACGAGACCUUCGGGUCUAGUGGCGCACGGGUUCGUAACGCGUGGGAACCUGCCCUUAGGUUCGGAAUAACUCCCCGAAAGGGGUGCUAAUACCGGAUAAUGUCUUCGGACCAAAGAUUUAUCGCCUUUGGAUGGGCCCGCGUUGGAUUAGCUAGUUGGUAGGGUAAAAGCCUACCAAGGCGACGAUCCAUAGCUGGUCUGAGAGGAUGAUCAGCCACACUGGGACUGAGACACGGCCCAGACUCAUACGGGAGGAAGCAGUGGGGAAUAUUGGACAAGGGGCGAAAGCCUGAGCCAGCAAUGCCGCGUGAGUGAUGAAGGCCUUAGGGUUGUAAAGCUCUUUUACCCGGGAGGAUAAUGACAGUACCGGGAGAAUAAGCUCCGGCUAACUCCGUG